RNAcentral lists this ribosomal RNA (440 nucleotides) under uncultured bacterium. Its description in RNAcentral is "partial 16S ribosomal RNA". It matches the Rfam family "Bacterial small subunit ribosomal RNA", at positions 338 to 795 of the family's 1533-position model. The record is from RNAcentral.
CCUACGGGAGGCAGCAGUGGGGGAUAUUGGACAAUGGGGGAAACCCUGAAGCAGCGACGCCGCGUGAAGGAAGAAGUCUUUAGGUAUGUAAACUUCUAUCAGCAGGGAAGAAAAUGACGGUACCUGACUAAGAAGCCCCGGCUAACUACGUGCCAGCAGCCGCGGUACUACGUAGGGGGCAAGCGUUAUCCGGAUUUACUGGGUGUAACGGGAGCGUAGGCGGUUUAGCAAGUCAGAAGUGAAAGCCCGGGGCUCAACUCCGGGACUGCUGUUGAAACUGUUGAACUAGAGUGCAGGAGAGGUAAGUGGAAUUCGUGGUGUAGCGGUGAAAUGCGUAGAUAUUAGGAGGAACUCCAGUGGCGAAGGCGGCUUACUGGACUGUAAAUGACGCUGAGGCUCGAAAGCGUGGGUAGCAAACAGGAUUAGAUACCCUAGUAGUC